AAAAGGGUGAUGAAGGGGACCAGUAGGUUUAUCCUUUCCCUGCAGAGAGCUGGCGGCCGGUGGAAGCCAGCGGGAGGAUAGGCUGAAUCCCCCCCGGAACCGGCUCCGCAAACCGGGGGAACCGGGCAAAGGAGCACAGGAAGUCCUGUUACAGACGACCUGAGUGGAUACCGGAAGGAUCCGGUGUCAAUUUGGGUGGCAACGCGGGUAGCUACUCCCGUCCCAUUG
RNAcentral lists this non-coding RNA (228 nucleotides) under Thermacetogenium phaeum. Its description in RNAcentral is "T-box sequence". It matches the Rfam family "T-box leader". Rfam says of the family: Uncharged tRNA acts as the effector for transcription antitermination of genes in the T-box leader family. The record is from RNAcentral. Lineage: Bacteria; Bacillati; Bacillota; Clostridia; Thermoanaerobacterales; Thermoanaerobacteraceae.